RNAcentral lists this ribosomal RNA (490 nucleotides) under uncultured bacterium. Its description in RNAcentral is "partial 16S ribosomal RNA". It matches the Rfam family "Bacterial small subunit ribosomal RNA", at positions 30 to 507 of the family's 1533-position model. The record is from RNAcentral.
AUUGAACGCUGGCGGCAGGCCUAACACAUGCAAGUCGAACGGUAACAGGAAGCAGCUUGCUGCUUUGCUGACGAGUGGCGGACGGGUGAGUAAUGUCUGGGAAACUGCCCGAUGGAGGGGGAUAACUACUGGAAACGGUAGCUAAUACCGCAUAACGUCGCAAGACCAAAGAGGGGGACCUUAGGGCCUCUUGCCAUCGGCUGUGCCCAGAUGGGAUUAGCUAGUAGGUGGGGUAACGGCUCACCUAGGCGACGAUCCCUAGCUGGUCUGAGAGGAUGAACAGCCACACUGGAACUGAGACACGGUCCAGACUCCUACGGGAGGCAGCAGUGGGGAAUAUUGCGCAAUGGGCGCAAGCCUGAUGCAGCCAUGCCGCGUGUAUGAAGAAGGCCUUCGGGUUGUAAAGUACUUUCAGCGGGGAGGAAGGGAGUAAAGUUAAUACCUUUGCUCAUUGACGUUACCCGCAGAAGAAGCACCGGCUAACUCCGUG